GUAAGCACGGCCUGAGAGGGGCGACCGGCCACACUGGGACUGGAGACACGGCCCAGACUCCUCCCGGCAGGCAGCAGUGGGGAAUAUUGCACAAUGGGCGCAAGCCUCCCCGCAGCGACGCCGCUGUGAGGGAUGACGGCCUUCGGGUUGUAAACCUCUUUCAGCAGGGAAGAAGCGAAAGUGACGGUACCUGCAGAAGAAGCGCCGGCUAACUACGUGCCAGCAGCCGCGGUAAUACGUAGGGCGCAAGCGUUGUCCGGAAUUAUUGGGCGUAAAGAGCUCGUAGGCGGCUUGUCACGUCGGAUGUGAAAGCCCGAGGCUUAACCUCGGGUCUGCAUUCGAUACGGGCUAGCUAGAGUGUGGUAGGGGAGAUCGGAAUUCCUGGUGUAGCGGUGAAAUGCGCAGAUAUCAGGAGGAACACCGGUGGCGAAGGCGGAUCUCUGGGCCAUUACUGACGCUGAGGAGCGAAAGCGUGGGGAGCGAACAGGAUUAGAUACCCUGGUAGUCCACGCCGUAAACGUUGGGAAAUAGGUGUUGGCGACAUUCCACGUCGUCGGUGCCGCAGCUAACGCAUAAGUGCCCCGCUUUUAAGACCGAGUCGG
Molecule: ribosomal RNA, 602 nt
Filed under: Streptomyces lavendulae subsp. lavendulae
Lineage: Bacteria; Bacillati; Actinomycetota; Actinomycetes; Kitasatosporales; Streptomycetaceae
Description: bacterial SSU rRNA
Rfam family: Bacterial small subunit ribosomal RNA
Source: RNAcentral